AGUUGAUCCUGGCUCAGGAUGAACGCUAGCGAUAGGCUUAACACAUGCAAGUCGAGGGGCAGCACGGUGUAGCAAUACACUGGUGGCGACCGGCGUACGGGUGCGUAACACGUAUGCAACCUACCCGCUAUUGGGGGAUAACCCGGCGAAAGUCGGACUAAUACCCCAUAUUAUUCUUACCGGGCAUCCGGUAGGUCUGAAAGAUUUAUCGAUUGCGGAUGGGCAUGCGGAUGAUUAGCUAGUAGGUGGGGUAACGGCUCACCUAGGCGACGAUCAUUAGGGGUUCUGAGAGGAAGGUCCCCCCACACUGGAACUGAGACACGGUCCAGACUCCUACGGGAGGCAGCAGUGAGGAAUAUUGGUCAAUGGGCGCUAGCCUGAACCAGCCAAGUCGCGUGAAGGAUGACAAGAUCUAUGGUUUGUAAACUUCUUUUGCAGGGGAGUAAAGUGCGACACGUGUGUUGUAUUGCAAGUACCCUGCGAAUAAGCAUCGGCUAACUCCGUGCCAGCCGCAGC
This 516-nucleotide ribosomal RNA is filed under the name uncultured bacterium. RNAcentral describes it as "bacterial SSU rRNA". It matches the Rfam family "Bacterial small subunit ribosomal RNA", at positions 10 to 518 of the family's 1533-position model. The record is from RNAcentral.